Small nucleolar RNA from Erinaceus europaeus (western European hedgehog), 64 nucleotides. The record is from Ensembl. NCBI's taxonomy places the organism in Eukaryota, Metazoa, Chordata, Mammalia, Eulipotyphla, Erinaceidae.
GACACUAAUGACAGAAGUAGUGCCAGUCUGAUAACUGUGACUGAUAUGAAUUUCCUGAACUGUG